AUUGAACGCUGGCGGCAGGCCUAACACAUGCAAGUCGAACGGUAGCACAGAGAGCUUGCUCUCGGGUGACGGGUGGCGGACGGGUGAGUAACGUCUGGGAAACUGCCCGAUGGAGGGGGAUAACUACUGGAAACGGUAGCUAAUACCGCAUAACGUCGCAAGACCAAAGUGGGGGACCUUCGGGCCUCACACCAUCGGAUGUGCCCAGAUGGGAUUAGCUAGUAGGUGGGGUAAUGGCUCACCUAGGCGACGAUCCCUAGCUGGUCUGAGAGGAUGACCAGCCACACUGGAACUGAGACACGGUGCAGACUCCUACGGGAGGCAGCAGUGGGGAAUAUUGCACAAUGGGCGCAAGCCUGAUGCAGCCAUGCCGCGUGUAUGAAGAAGGCCUUCGGGUUGUAAAGUACUUUCAGGGGGGAGGAAGGCGGUGAAGUUAAUAGCUUCACCGAUUGACGUUACCCGCAGAAGAAGCACCGGCUAACUCCGUGCCAGCCGCCGCGGUAA
RNAcentral lists this ribosomal RNA (504 nucleotides) under uncultured bacterium. RNAcentral's name for it is "partial 16S ribosomal RNA". It matches the Rfam family "Bacterial small subunit ribosomal RNA", at positions 29 to 523 of the family's 1533-position model. The record is from RNAcentral.